RNAcentral lists this ribosomal RNA (429 nucleotides) under Chloroflexota bacterium. RNAcentral's name for it is "Chloroflexi bacterium partial 16S ribosomal RNA". It matches the Rfam family "Bacterial small subunit ribosomal RNA", at positions 355 to 776 of the family's 1533-position model. The record is from RNAcentral. Lineage: Bacteria; Bacillati; Chloroflexota.
UGGGGAAUAUUGCACAAUGGGCGCAAGCCUGAUGCAGCCAUGCCGCGUGUAUGAAGAAGGCCUUCGGGUUGUAAAGUACUUUCAGUCGGGAGGAAGGUGGUAAGGUUAAUAACCUUGGCAAUUGACGUUACCGACAGAAGAAGCACCGGCUAACUCCGUGCCAGCAGCCGCGGUAAUACGGAGGGUGCAAGCGUUAAUCGGAAUUACUGGGCGUAAAGCGCACGCAGGCGGUUGAUUGAGUCAGAUGUGAAAUCCCCGGGCUUAACCCGGGAAUUGCAUCUGAUACUGGUCAGCUAGAGUCUUGUAGAGGGGGGUAGAAUUCCAUGUGUAGCGGUGAAAUGCGUAGAGAUGUGGUGGAAUACCGGUGGCGAAGGCGGCCCCCUGGACAAAGACUGACGCUCAGGUGCGAAAGCGUGGGGAGCAAACAGG